This 71-nucleotide transfer RNA is filed under the name Cavia porcellus (domestic guinea pig). It matches the Rfam family "tRNA". From Rfam's summary of the family: Transfer RNA (tRNA) molecules are approximately 80 nucleotides in length. Their secondary structure includes four short double-helical elements and three loops (D, anti-codon, and T loops). Further hydrogen bonds mediate the characteristic L-shaped molecular structure. tRNAs have two regions of fundamental functional importance: the anti-codon, which is responsible for specific mRNA codon recognition, and the 3' end, to which the tRNAs corresponding amino acid is attached (by aminoacyl-tRNA synthetases). tRNAs cope with the degeneracy of the genetic code in two manners: having more than one tRNA (with a specific anti-codon) for a particular amino acid; and 'wobble' base-pairing, i.e. permitting non-standard base-pairing at the 3rd anti-codon position. Lineage: Eukaryota; Metazoa; Chordata; Mammalia; Rodentia; Caviidae. The record is from Rfam by way of RNAcentral.
AGGGAUUUAGCUCAGCGGCAUAAGCGCCUGCCUUGCAAGCAGGCAGUCGUGAGUUCGAUUCCCAGUACUGA